CGGACUAUGAAUACCGGCCUAUAAGUAUAUACAGGGAUAUAGGGGUAUAUACAGGUAUAUAGGGACACUUCUUUGUUCUCCAAGGACCGCAAUUUUGAGUACGCAUGCGUCAAUUGUACAAUUUUUAAUAUGGCCUAUGUGCCACAUGCUAUCUGUACACGUUAUGCUGUGAUAAAAUAUUAAGUAAUAAAGAUAAAAUUUAAAUUUUGUGUCAUCACAGAAAAAAUAAAAAUGUCUGAAGAUAUAAAUCAUAAUAUAAUUAUUAUGAAGAGAAAUAAUAAUGGAAGGAAGAUCAUGAAAGGUGUCUAUAGCUGUACAAUGCAAGGAUGCUCAAAUAUUUCUGGACGUGACUGGCCUCAGCUUUUUUUCUUUUCCACGAGAUUCAGAAAGAUCUAAAUUAUGGUUAAAAAAUUGUGGGCGUAUUAUUGAAACGUCGAUAGAGAAAUUACACAAAAAUUAUCGUGUUUGUGAAAAUCACUUCGCACCAUCAAUGUUUUUGACUUGAAGAAUCGAUUGCAGCCAAAUGCAUUUCCGAUACCAUUAAAUGAUCAAUCAGCAUAUAAUUCAUUGAUUUCUGACAAUCAGAUAUUCUCAAAUAACCAUGAUACAUAUUCAGUAGAACAUUUAAAUCAAAAUCAAAUAAAUGAUGUAAGACAAAAAGAUCAACAAACACAAAUCGAAUUUAAUACACAAAAUCAAAUAAUUCAAACGAGUGCAAAACUAUUAAGUAAUUCACCAUGAAAACAGAAACUCAGAUAUAAGAUCCGUUUGUUACGACAGCAAUUGCAAAAUAUGAAACAACGAUUAAAACAACAACAAUUAAAACGACAAAAAAACAAUAUCAGCACACACACACACACAUGUUUUGUUUGUGUGUGUGUGUAAACAAAUAAUAUUAAAAUUGUAAACAUUAUAAU
Long non-coding RNA from Camponotus floridanus (Florida carpenter ant), 917 nucleotides. RefSeq lists it as uncharacterized. Lineage: Eukaryota; Metazoa; Arthropoda; Insecta; Hymenoptera; Formicidae. The record is from RefSeq and is a predicted model, not a curated record. The transcript has 4 exons.